This 465-nucleotide ribosomal RNA is filed under the name uncultured bacterium. RNAcentral describes it as "partial 16S ribosomal RNA". It matches the Rfam family "Bacterial small subunit ribosomal RNA", at positions 28 to 507 of the family's 1533-position model. The record is from RNAcentral.
GACGAACGCUGGCGGCGUGCUUAACACAUGCAAGUCGAACGGAAAGGCCCCUUUGGGGCUCCUCGAGCGGCGACCGGGUGAGUAACACGUACGUAACCUGCCCUUGCCUUCGGGACAACUACAGCAUACUGGGGCUAAUACCGGCAAGGAAUCCUUGCUGCAAGCGGAGGGUUGGAAAGCUUCGGAGGGUUUGGAUGGACUCGAUGCAUAUCUGCUUGCUGCUGGGGUAGUGGCUUACCAAGGCUGCGUCGGGUAGCAGGCCUGUGGGGGCGACCGGCCACAUUGGGACUUACAUAAGGCCCAGGCUCCUACGGGUGGCCGCAGGGGGGAAUCUUGCCCAAUGGGCGGAAGCCUGAUGCAGCAGCUCCGCGGGCGGGAUGACGGUCUUCGUGUUGAAAACCGCUUUCAGCAGGGGCGAAGCUUGUGGUGACGGUACCUGCAGAAGAAGCACCGGCUAACUACGUG